Molecule: non-coding RNA, 3132 nt
Organism: Sturnus vulgaris (Common starling)
Lineage: Eukaryota; Metazoa; Chordata; Aves; Passeriformes; Sturnidae
Source: RefSeq, a predicted model, not a curated record
CAUCCCCGAGUGCGGGGGUCACACCGCGGGACGUGGGGUUCCCUCCGUGGUGUGUGGUGUGAGCCCCGGCAGCUCCUCGCUGUCCCCGUCCCGUGUCCCCUCCUGGCUGUAACACCGAGCUCCUGUGGUCCCCCGCUUCCCACCGGGAAUAUUGCAGCGUUACGAUGUCACUCCUUGUCCCUAACUUGCUUCUCUUUGACAGGCGUGGAUAAACAGCGCGGUGUGUGUGAGCCCGCUCUAGGUGAUGCGACCCUUCUCCUUGUUUCCAAAGGAGGUUUUUGAGCAAAGAGGGGAGCGUGUCUCCCUGCCAGCGAGGCUUGGGGAAGUUUGAAUGGAUUCCUGACACGCUGGGUGACGCGGGAGCAGAGCUGGCUGCUCGGUGGGAGCGCCGUGUUCUCCAGCAUCCGUGCAAUUUGCGCCCACACAUGAGCUGUUCCAAUCCUUGGCGUUACCCUGAGAACUGGGAAGGCUGAAAACACCCCACCUAAAGCCAUAACCCUCAGCUAAACCUGUAACUCCCACCUAAACCUGUAACCCCACUUCUUCUGUGUUUAGGGUUGCCUCUCUGUUGAUGUCUGGGGUUCCUAACCUGAGUGAGGGAAUGAACGUGGGGCUUUGGGGGUACAAGUUGUGCUGCAGAGGUGAUGGGGUGGGUACCGUGCUGAAUGUCUGUGGUUAAGGAAGGGCGGUCAGUUAGGUGUUGAAAAUUUGGCUUUUCCUUCAGGAACACCAGAGACAUUGCUCAUGAGGCGCCCCACGUUGUACUCCAGGGUGACAUUGUGUUGUCAACUCUUUGGGUUGGAAAUUAGCAAAAUCCUCUUCUGUUUUGACAGACGGGCUCCUCCUCGCCUCUGAAGUUGAGUCACAUAUUUAAAGCACAGAUCCCAGCACUUCCCUCUCCCCAGCCCUGAAAGGGGAAGGAUGGAGGAGGCCCAGCCCGGAGGUUCCUGUGCCCGCUGUGGUUGGGGCACAGGACUGGGGCUGUCACCCUGCCCGUGCCACAGCGAGGGCUCAGCCUCUGUGUCACAUGUCACACGGGUCCCUUGGCUUGCUGAGAAGCCUCCAGAGGUGCAGGACUGCAAGCUGGGAUGCAGGAGGGUGACACAGAGUGUCCCUGUGGCUCUUGCGGGGUGAGGAAUAUUCGACACUGAAUCUCUUUUAGGAAAAGGGAUUGUCUUGCUUGUCCCCUGUCCUGGCCUCUCCUGGCGUCCCUGACGGGGAGGGACGAGUUCAGCUGAGUGGUUGGACGUGUCCCUGGCUUCUCAAAGAGCAGCACAGCUGCUACUGUAAGUGAUUCCCUCCAGCACCUUCCAAACUGCUACACUUUGACUUUGGGCUCUGGGACGAGCCCCUGGGUUCUCGUCCUGCCCUUGGGAGUGUGAGCUACAGCCUUGGCUUACUCCAUUGGGAUGUUUGGACUGAGCUGCAGAGCCCAAACUUGGUGUGGGUGUCUGCCCUAGACAUGAUGUGUGCUGACUUCAUUCCCUCCUCGGGUACACGGCCGGGCUGACGUCUCUGCUAGAGACCUGUGGAGAGAUGAUGCUUAAAAGAAUCCUGAUGGCCCAUCGCCAGGAGCCACAGCUGAAAUCUGUCUGCUGCCUGCUUUGGUUGUGCAGUGAACCUUUCCAUUUGGAGUGUCAUUCUUUAGGUUUGCUGUUCCAAAAUCUUGUCUAACAAUGCAAUCCUUCACUGGAGGAUGAGACACAGUUGUGUCUCUUCCUGACGUGAAUGAUUUUUUUCUGGUCAUGUUGUGCUUCCUCUUGGGUCACGAGCAACUGUUGUGUUGUUAAAGUUCUUUCUCCCAAAUCAAGAGAUGGUUUUGUUAAGGGUUCUGCUGAGAGUCACUUUGCUGAAGAGAGCUUUUCAGUGCUCCAGGAGAGUUUGAGCUUGGGGACAGUGUUCUAGCAGCAGUGAAAACAUUAAGGCAAAUUUUCUUCCCCUUCCAGAGCAAUAGUCCAUGGCAGAGACACAUCAUUAAAUAAAGUGAUGCUGUGUGCGAGUUAAUGGAUGGUAGUUCUGCUUGCUGUGUAGUACCUGGGUGAAAACAAGAGAUUCCUCUACUUUUCUUAUGGAUUCUUCUUCAUCUUUCUGUUUCCCACCUCCAGUUUUAUUGUAUUUUUUGGUACCUGAAGUGUGGCAUCCCUGAAUUACCUGGUGUGAGGCAGCCACGGAUGGUCCCAGUCACCCGUGACCCUGUUUGGAGCACGGUGAUGUGCAGGGUGGGAACAGGAAGCCCAGGGAGAGGUGAUGAAUGGAGCUGAAACGCCUGGUUCCUUACCCCGUUCUUCCUUGUUACCUUGGUGUGAUUUAUUAUUAGGCAAAAUUAGGCUGGUAGUUUCUGUGGAGGCUGCUGUAUGUAGGUCACUGCUGGCCUGACUUGGCAGGGUUGGCUGUGGUCAGGCUGCAGUGGUGGGGCUGGCAGUGAGGGCUCUUUGCCCGCUGCAAAUUCCACUUUUAAGACUAAUCUUUGGGCUGGCUGCCUUAAUUCCACAAGGAAAUGGCAGCUAAGGCAGGCUGGAGAGUGGGGACUGGUAUUGCAGGUGAUGAGUUUUUCUCUGUUGUAUGUGUUGGAGCUCUUUGUGGAGGAGAUUUCCUUUAAAAUCCAUGAACAAACCUCGCUGCUGACUUCAGCUUCAAAGCAGGAGAUCCUCACCCGGACUGGUGAGCUUUGGAAGGGCUGGAGGAGCUCAGGGCCCUGAGCUCGUGGGUUUGCCCCAUUUCUGGAGCAUCCUCCGUGCUUUGGUGUUUGUGAAACACUCCCAGUCUCGCUCGUGGCCUCAUCUGAUAUCUGUGAGUGCUGGUUCCCCUGAUGGAGAAGGAGGAAGGAAGAUGCUGCUUGUGGUUUGCUGUUCUGGGAAGGUGCCUGUUGUGGAAUUAGGGCAGGCAGCUCGGAGCUGAGAGCUGAGCAGCUCUGUGGAUGAGGGAAUUCGUGUAGCCAAAGCACCCUGUGUCCUGCAGCUUCGUGUGAGAUCAAAUGCUCUGUCCUCCCGAAAAUCCAUCUGGAAAAACACCCCCAAAGUGAGGCAGUAAAUGGAGAUCCUGGGCUCGUGCUCAUGGGAAGCAGCUUGCUGUGUCUGCUCUUCUUCUGUCCCUCUCUCAGUGGAGAGAUGUUUUUUUUAUUAGCUCUGCCAU